GUUGGUACUCGGCUUAAAAGUAUGGGUUUGAUUGACUUUGCUUAAUUAGUUGCCCUUUACCUUUCUGCAUUCCUUUCCCUUGUUUGCUCUGUUUUCUUUUUCUUUUAGUUAUAGCUUUAUCUCCCCUCAUUUUCGCAACAGAACACAACUUGGUAGUAGCCUAAUCUUUUAUAGAAAUGUCGUGCAAUGAUUUUAAAGAGCACUUGUUGUCCAUCAUAGAGUUCACUUUUCAAGAAAGAGAGAAGCUUCAGGUAAAAAGGUUUGGUUCCGACUCCUCGACCAGAUUUGUCUCUCUCCUCUCCGAAAAUUUGUGCAGCUUUCGUAAAAGGUUUUAUAUCUACAAGCUUUGUAAGCCUCGUGGGGUGUUUGUACAAGAAAUUACAUCCAACAUCUACAUGCAUCUUAAUUCGAAACAAAUGCAUGAUGAAUGAGACUCAUAAGAACAAGAUGAGAUGAUUGAUAUGGUACACUGCGACAUAAUGUAUAUGAUAUAGUGUAUAAUUUUUCUAUUUUAGCCAACUAUCAAAAGAGAUUAUUAUUCAGCAAUUUCCCUGGUCUAUUCAUGGAUCGCCACUCUGCUUCAACCUGCCCGAAGCUUUGCUUGCAAUGGAUGAAGUAGAUCAUCUUAUCCGCAUAAUGAGCAACCGGUUUCAUCCCCACGAUCACAGAAGGAAGAAAACCGGAAGUUGAUUGCCGGUCCAUUUUGUGGACGGGACUAUGACCAAGUACAAUUGCUUACAUAUAACCACACUCUCUUUGUUUUUUGGUAAAACCACACUCUCUUUUGACCUGAAGACUUGGCCCUAGUUCUGUGGGACCAGCAUGUCAUUGCUUCAGCCAC
RNAcentral lists this long non-coding RNA (841 nucleotides) under Elaeis guineensis (African oil palm). RNAcentral describes it as "long non-coding RNA (EGUI_LNC021180)". Lineage: Eukaryota; Viridiplantae; Streptophyta; Magnoliopsida; Arecales; Arecaceae. The record is from RNAcentral.